Long non-coding RNA from Hippocampus comes (tiger tail seahorse), 1697 nucleotides. RefSeq lists it as uncharacterized. The record is from RefSeq and is a predicted model, not a curated record. The transcript is spliced from 2 exons. NCBI's taxonomy places the organism in Eukaryota, Metazoa, Chordata, Actinopteri, Syngnathiformes, Syngnathidae.
UACAGUUGAGUUGAGUUGAGAAACGGCAUGACUGAAUUGGAUUAUUUGUUUAUUUUAUAUUAAUUGCAUUAUUGACCUGUUAUUCUGAACCAUUUCUACAAUGUCUCCACGCGGUUGUUGCACUCAACUGCAUUGCAUACAGCUUUCAAAUGCCCAAUUAUUUAUCUUCCUAUACAAAAAAAACAAACAUGUAAUUGGACACGAACAAAUGUAUUACCGGUAGUUAUUCCUUAAAUCGCAAAAGAAUAUUGUCCAGAAAACAAGGAAAUAAGCAUGUUGAGCUUUGUCCUGCCAUAAAUAGAAAGACACAUUCAGCAGUGUCGUUCACUGCUCCACAUGGACCAAGGACAGGAAGUGACAUCACUGUACAAGGAAAUUGCUAACUGCCCUUGUGUGAUUUUUUUCGCAGGUUUUUGUUUUUUGUUUUUUGUUUUUUUGCCCUACUAGGAAUCAUUGAAAUUAUAUAAAACACAUCUGGGUGGCAUUGCAAAACAAUGCGUGCCGGUUUAAGGACCCCUUGGGAAAUUCACUCUAAUAAUGCAUGCAAUAUGUUGUUAAUCUGUCCCACAUGGGAUGAAUAUAUGCUUUCACAGAAAAAAAAAAGUCAAUAAACAUACAAGCACACUGCCCAAUUGCAUGCUUGAUACAUCAAGGGGCUGACUACGCUUGCAGUAGUUCACAUUCACGUUUGGAUGACAUAGAGUAUGUAUUUAUCUGUGAAGACCUUUUACUGAUUUAGACACCUGUUUAUGCUGAUAGACUGGAGUUCUUUCAAAACAUGCAUCAUGAAUAAACCAGUCCACUUUGCCUGGAUUAUUUGAGUAUAAGACUACACUAUAAAAAAUAAAAAGGCAUACAUCAGCGAUUGUCUCAGGUAUCAGGGAGGAUAUAAUGUUCACUAAACUGAGAUUGAAUAGAAUGGUUGCUAUGGCAACCAGAGUCCACAGUAUGACACAAUGAACAGCAGCAGGCUGUUGUGGUUACACAGUAAGUCACUGGCAGCCACACAAAGCUCUCUGACUGCAGUAUCUUCUGCUCUCUGCUGGGAAUGUAGAAACAAUUGAUUUUGAUACACUUAUGAGAAACAACUUGUCAUUUCAACCGGAUUAGUGGAGAUGAUAGAAAUUAGUUUAGAUAUAUUCCAUGCAAAGGCCAGACCCAUUGGAAGUUGUGGUCGGUUUAUGUUUUGAUGGAAAAAAAAUAACCAACAUUGGUGUCCCCUGUGGCAGCUGUCAGUCAUUUUUGAGCUAGUGCAUUUAAAUGUGCAACUAGAGUUAAGUAUAGUUUGAUAACACGGGUGAAAGGCGGGGGGGAUGGGUGUCUGUUGCGUUACAAUUUUAUGCUGAUUAAAACUGAUAAAAGCGUGCUGAUUCCAACAUUUCAAUUGUUUCUUUUUCCGAGCAUGUCGUUUUUCUCUCCACAUCAGACCAGAAAAGCAACAUUCCACAAAUUAGCUGUAGUAAGACUUACUAUCUUAUCAUGAUUAGACACAUCUACUGUGCAUCCUAGUGACACUGUGUGUGCAGCUUCCAAUAGGUCAGUGCUAUCAAUACUGUAUGUGCUAACAGAAAAGUAACAUAGUAGGAAUUAGGAGGAUUAGUCCCCUCUUCUCUUAACCAUGUACAGAGCCCCUAAAGUGACAUGGAAGGGAAAAAAGCUUCCUCGCAAAGAUUACAAGAUAAUGUAGACGCUUUUUU